GAAGCAUGAGCUGUGAUGGGGAAGGAAAUUAAGUACGGAAGUUCCUGAUUUCACGCUGUCAAGAAAAGCCUCUAGGAAGAGUAGUACUGCCCGUACCGCAAACCGACACAGGUAGAUGAGGAGAGAAGCCUAAGGUGAGCGAGAGAACUCUCGUUAAGGAACUCGGCAAAAUGACCCCGUAACUUCGGGAGAAGGGGUGCUCUAUUAGGGUGCAAGCCCGAGAGAGCCGCAGUGAAUAGGCCCAGGCGACUGUUU
Molecule: ribosomal RNA, 255 nt
Filed under: Listeria monocytogenes
Lineage: Bacteria; Bacillati; Bacillota; Bacilli; Caryophanales; Listeriaceae
Description: partial 23S ribosomal RNA
Rfam family: Bacterial large subunit ribosomal RNA
Source: RNAcentral